This 350-nucleotide long non-coding RNA is filed under the name Linum usitatissimum (flax). RNAcentral's name for it is "long non-coding RNA (LUSI_LNC003490)". The record is from RNAcentral. Lineage: Eukaryota; Viridiplantae; Streptophyta; Magnoliopsida; Malpighiales; Linaceae.
AUUAAUUGUUUGUUGUCCCCAUCAGUCAAAUAACACGCUCCCUUUCUCGAAUCUAAGAAGAACCGAGAAUUUAAUGACUUUCAUUAUACUCUUUCAAUUUCUAAUAUCAGCCCUUUUUGUUUUCAUCUGCUAUUUAAUUUCAUAAGAAUAAAUGUUAGGUGUAUCCGGUAAAAGAGACCCUUUGAAUGCCUAUGCCUAAAUAUAGAUACUGGGGCGUUUCUUAGUACUGACUAAUAUUUCUCAACUGAUUGAAAAUAGAGUAAGAGUAUAAGGGUAAUAGUAAUAUGUUUCGUGUAAAACAUAAAGUAGCCCCAGCUCCGUCUAGGGGGUUUUAAUUAAGAUAGGAGUCU